Hypomesus transpacificus is the source of this 723-nucleotide long non-coding RNA. RefSeq lists it as uncharacterized. The record is from RefSeq and is a predicted model, not a curated record. The transcript is spliced from 2 exons. Lineage: Eukaryota; Metazoa; Chordata; Actinopteri; Osmeriformes; Osmeridae.
UGUAAGGGCAGAGCCCCCGACAUCUUACUGAACAGGGUAUUGGACCUCAAACGUAUUGGGCAAUGUCCGAGCAACUCUAUAAAAACCACUGUAAUGCUGCAUUAGCUCUACAACAUUUGUAGUCAAUUGGGCCCCACCAAUUAGUCCCUUUAUUAAACAUAUGUCUAUGUCCCACGAUAUGGUCAUAUUUCAACCAACAUUAUUCAUUAAUUGUGUCUGUAUGAACGAUCUCUACAUUGGUUACAGUACGACGCUGGCCUUGACGUCACCAACUAAUUCAAUCCAGCACUUGAGUUCGCCAAUGGCAAAUUAAUUUCAAUCUGUGUCAGAAGAGGAUGAUGAAGACUCUGAUGAUGAUAAAGACUCUGAUGAUGAUGAAGACGAGGACAAAGAAGACUCUGAUGAUGAUGAAGACGAGGACAAAGAAGACUCUGAUGAUGAGUCUGAUGAUGAAGAAUCUGAUAAAUCCCGAUCGUUUUCCGACAACAUUAUCUCCAGAGCUCUUUGGAGAGUCCAGGCACCAUCAGAGACUUCCAAGUCCUCCAGAACCCCUCUCAGAGCAAGGGUGAAAGCAGAGGCUCUGUCACCGGGAUUCACUGUGGUGAAUCCCGGUGGUGCAGCAACAGACACCUGUCAUUUAAAAAUAAAUACUAUGUAACUGUGUCACAGAAUGUGAAUGGAAUGUGAAUAAAAUGAAUAUCAAAUUAUAUAAGAAUUCAGAAA